Molecule: long non-coding RNA, 310 nt
Filed under: Homo sapiens (human)
Lineage: Eukaryota; Metazoa; Chordata; Mammalia; Primates; Hominidae
Description: HSALNT0395595
Source: RNAcentral
GAUCGGAAGAGGCUCGUGUAGGGAAAGAGGGAGCCUGAAUUAGCGCUGGGGUCAGAUGGACCCUGGUUUAUUAGAAAAAGAAAAGCAUGUGGAGUCCUUGUCUUUAGAGGAAGGCCCCCUGCAUGCUGGUUGACUUGCAGCAGAACUGGCUGGAGCUUCUUCUUCCCAGGAAGGACAUCUUCCUGAUAUGCCAGCGUGACUCCUUUGGGCUCGAAGAUGCCUCUUCAUCAGAUGGGUCUAGGGAUUCAGAUGCUACGUCACUGCUGAACCCUGGUCCCCUCCGCAGAGGGCAAUGACUGCUCCUCUGGGG